GACAAGAGUUUGAUCCUGGCUCAGGGUGAACGCUGGCGGUAUGCCUAAGACAUGCAAGUCGCACGGACUGUUUCGGCAGUUAGUGGCGGACGGGUGAGUAACACGUAGGUGACCUGCCCCAAAGUCGGGGACAACUAGGAGAAAUCUUAGCUAAUCCCCGAUGUGAACCUCGGUCCUGACCGAUGUUCAAAGCUUCGGCGCUUUGGGAUGGGCCUGCGCUGGAUCAGGUAGUUGGUAGGGUAAUGGCCUACCAAGCCGACGACCCAUAGCUGGUCUGAGAGGACGACCAGCCACAGGGGUACUGAGACACGGACCCCACUCCUACGGGAGGCAGCAGUUAGGAAUCUUCCGCAAUGGGCGAAAGCCUGACGGAGCGAUACCGCUUGAAGGACGAAGCCCCUCGGGGUGUAAACUUCUGAACUGGGGACGAUGAUGACGGUACCCAGGUAAUAGCACCGGCUAACUCCGUGCCAGCAGCCGCGGUAAUACGGAGGGUGCGAGCGUUACCCGGAUUUACUGGGUGUAAAGGGCGUGUAGGCGGUCUCUUAAGUCCGAUGCUAAAGACCAAGGCUCAACCUCGGGAAUGCGUUGGAUACUGUGAGGCUAGACGGUCGGAGAGGGUAGCGGAAUUUCCGGAGUAGCGGUGAAAUGCGCAGAUACCGGAAGGAACGCCGAUAGCGAAAGCAGCUACCUGGACGAUUUGUGACGCUGAGGCGCGAAAGCGUGGGGAGCAAA
Molecule: ribosomal RNA, 735 nt
Filed under: uncultured Meiothermus sp.
Lineage: Bacteria; Thermotogati; Deinococcota; Deinococci; Thermales; Thermaceae
Description: bacterial SSU rRNA
Rfam family: Bacterial small subunit ribosomal RNA
Source: RNAcentral